Long non-coding RNA from Mirounga angustirostris (Northern elephant seal), 1413 nucleotides. RefSeq lists it as uncharacterized. NCBI's taxonomy places the organism in Eukaryota, Metazoa, Chordata, Mammalia, Carnivora, Phocidae. The transcript is spliced from 4 exons. The record is from RefSeq and is a predicted model, not a curated record.
UCGUUAUCAGAGGUGGAGACAUUUAGAAGUCGUUCUUAACCAGAGUGAAGCUUGUACUUCGGAAAGUCAGCCUCAUUCCUCAGCACUCACAGCACCUAGUUCUCCAGAUUCCUCCUGGAUGAAGAAGGACCAGCCCAGCUGGUUGGGAGCUUGGGAGCACAACACAGAGUGUGUUUUUCAAGAAACCCAUUCAAAGCGGAAUAAAGACCCGAAGCACAGGAGCAGAGCAGGCCAGCACACCCCAGCCGAGGUGGUUCGCGAGCCCUGGCGACAUGGGGCGCUGCUGCUGGGGUCUGACCAGAGACGGCAAUCUGGCCUUGGAACCGCGCUAGUCCUGCUCAGCUGGUCCGCACCCCCCGCCGCCGGAACGCGGGCAGAGCCGAGCUGCGGGCGUCACCGCCAGGGACUACACUUGGCUCACACGAGGAGCACAGCCACGGGUCCGCAAAGCCUUCUUGGGCUCCAGCCUGGCCUCUGAAGUCAGGAAGUUUGCAGCUAAAAAGGAAGAGAAAGAAGCUGAGUGUAGAGAAAGAGGCUCUGAGUGCUUCUGGGGCAACCCAAAGUCCCAUUUCCCAGACUGGCCCCGGGGCCGGGAGUGGGGGGCAGGAUGGGAGCAGAGCCAAGCGAUGGACCCUCAGAACCUCCCCACUGCACUGAAGCCAGAACUCUGGUUUUUUUAAUCUAUUUUAUUUGACUGCCAGGUAAAAUUUAUUUCCAAAAAGAGGAGGCUAAAAAUAAAAGUUUGGAAAUCUUUGACCUGCACCGUACUGGUAGACAGGUGGUCCUCUAACAUAACAACAAAACUUUUUACAACCGUUCUUCUAUUUCUUCAGCUAUAGGUGUGGGGAAGGACCUCAUAAUACCUACCCUCCUGAACCUUGCAGGCUGCUGGAAAGAGCAAAUGAGAUCAGAAAACUAAGGUUCCGAGAGUAAACAACUUAACCAAGCCCAGGUAGAACCUCUACUCACCCAGGUCGCUGCAUAUUCCCUUCACAGCCUGGCCACCGGCUUCUCCUCCCCAAGCACUGUGAACCUUGUGUCUGCCUGGUUUCGGCAGAAGCCUCCAGCUGGUUCCUUCCGUGCUUCCAGAUUAUGCUGUACACUGCUGCCAGACGCCUCCCCCCCACCUACCUGCCCUGCACCCUCGUGAGAUCCCACAUCGCCUUUGUCAAAUCAAAUCCGCACAGCCCUGCACUCCAGGCUGCGCGCAUCUGACCCCCCGGGGCUUUCCAGCCUCAGGCCCCACUCCUCCACUCUCCAGUUCCUCCGUUGAGCCAAAGGGACUGCUCGCUGCACAACACCCUAACACCGCCCUACCUGUGGCCCCCAGAUCCCCCACAGGCUGUCCCCCUCCUCCCUCCUGCCCUCUCCCAGCCCUCCCUGGAAGCCUGCACGACUCAUCUGUACGAUUCA